Molecule: ribosomal RNA, 448 nt
Filed under: uncultured bacterium
Lineage: Bacteria
Description: bacterial SSU rRNA
Rfam family: Bacterial small subunit ribosomal RNA
Source: RNAcentral
UGGGGAAUAUUGCGCAAUGGGCACAAGCCUGAUCCAGCCAUGCCGCGUGAGUGACGAAGGUCUUCGGAUUGUAAAGCUCUUUUUGGCGGGGACGAUAAUGACGGUACCCGCAGAAUAAGCCCCGGCUAACUUCGUGCCAGCAGCCGCGGUAAUACGUAGGGUGCAGGCGUUAAUCGGAAUUACUGGGCGUAAAGCGCACGUAGGCGGAUGUGCCAGUCAGGGGUGAAAUCCCGGAGCUCAACUCCGGAACUGCCUCUGAUACUGCACGUCUUGAGUUCGAGAGAGGUGGGUGGAAUUCCUAGUGUAGAGGUGAAAUUCGUAGAUAUUAGGAAGAACACCGGUGGCGAAGGCGGCCCACUGGCUCGAUACUGACGCUGAGGUGCGAAAGCGUGGGGAGCAAACAGGAUUAGAUACCCCGGUAGUCCCUGAGCGGGCUGGCAAGGCGCAU